AUGAGCCCAAAGAAGCAUGAUAUAUUGAAGGAGAAAGUGGAGGAAUUGUUGCAAAAGGGGCACAUUCGAGAAAGUAUUAGCCCAUGUGAUGUACCAGCCCUACUCGCACCAAAGAAAGAUGGAUCUUGGCGCAUGUGUACGAACAGUAGAGCAGUUAACAAGGUCACCGUAAGGUAUAGAUUCCAUAUUCCCCAUCUGGAUGAUAUGUUGGAUCAGCUUAUUGGAGCAAGAGUGUUCACAAAGCUAGAUUUAAGAAGUGGAUAUCAUCAAAUCCGUAUAAGACCCGGGGAUGAAUGGAAGACCGCCUUCAAGACAAAGGAAGGGUUGUUUGAAUGGCUAGUCAUGCCAUUUGGACUCUCAAAUGCACCAAGUACCUUUAUGCACUUAAUGAGUCAAGUCCUUAGACCCUUCUUAUCCCACUUUAUUGUGGUCUAUUUCGAUGACAUCUUGAUCUAUAGCAAGGAUGAGGAUGAACACUUUGAUCACAUUUGGAAGGUGCUAGAAGUACUAAGGGAAAAUGAGCUCUACGUCAACUUGAAGAAAUGUGUUUUCCUACAAACACAACUUCUUUUCCUAGGAUUCGUCAUAACAUGUGACGACAUUCGUGUUGAUGAUUCUAAGGUUGAAGCAAUCUGA
RNAcentral lists this ribosomal RNA (636 nucleotides) under Triticum aestivum (bread wheat). Its description in RNAcentral is "partial small subunit ribosomal RNA". The record is from RNAcentral. Lineage: Eukaryota; Viridiplantae; Streptophyta; Magnoliopsida; Poales; Poaceae.